Long non-coding RNA from Paramisgurnus dabryanus, 1030 nucleotides. RefSeq lists it as uncharacterized. NCBI's taxonomy places the organism in Eukaryota, Metazoa, Chordata, Actinopteri, Cypriniformes, Cobitidae. The record is from RefSeq and is a predicted model, not a curated record.
ACAAACAUGAGACGUCCAAAGGACGUUCAGAUUAUGUCCAUAUCGGGUCGGUCGGUCCAGAACCUAAUCUGCACCUAAUCUGCACGUCUAAACGACGUGCAGAUCCAGUACAGUAUUUGGACGUCUGACUACGACGUCUUUUGGACGUUGAUAUGCAGUUCAAUAUUUGAGGGUCCGUUCUUGGACGUCAUUUAGACGUUCAAAACAGGUUCAGAAAAAAAAUAUAAAAACUUAUGCAAUAAAAACGACAAAUGAGUUCUGAUUCAAAACAAUGUAACAUGACGUUUUUUUUUUGUGAAAAUUCUUUAAGGUGAUAAAAUAUGUUAUAUUUUUAAGAAUGAAUGUUCACAACGCGUGCCAAAAUCUACUGCAUUUCUUUUGUGUAAUUUGCAAAUUAAACCAAAUUCAAGUGUGAUUUACAAAAAUAAUCAACAUUGCAAUUUUAAGUUUAACCACAAGGGUGUGUAAAAGCUUAGGUGGCGAGGUGGCGCGUGAUCUUUUUUUGCACGUGAUCAACAGACGUAAUUAAGCGAGCCCCAGCCGUAAACGUACUCAACGGAUUCAACCUGCUGUGAACAGGAGAACAGGACCUACAUACACCCCAAAGGCUCUUUUCAGAGCCAUUUGACCAAGCAUCUUUGUACAUGCCGGUUUUCCUUCAGUAGUGCCAGUUUUCCUAAGAUUUUACCUCGUCCUCCACUGCCUCCAGUAAUUCCUGGUUUUAAGGUGGAGUAAUGGAGUAAAGAUGCAACGGAGCAGCUGAUAAGAAAACAUGCUUAAGACCAUCUUAAACGUGCACCAUCAAGAAAGGGAGGGGUACACAAUAAACAUUUUUUUUAACAUUACUUUUUGAAUAGAUGCACUUUUUAAAUUUUUUUUUUAAGUAUAUAUAUUGUUUAUUUAUGUUGUUUUUAAAUGUUAUAAUUGUAUUGUUUUUAUUUGUUGUAUUUAGCUUUUAUGCAUUUGUACACACACAAACACACAACCACAUUUAUACAAAAUAAGUUUUGAAUAAAUACGUUUAAUGGAG